UGUUCUCAUCACCGCACCUCUACUUCCUGCCUGGCUACUGGCCAAUCAGAAUUUUAAUAAAUGAACACAAGUGAGAAAACUUUACAGAGUACAAGACCAUUGUCCCAUAGCACUUUGCUUUCUACCCUCCAAGCAACAUCCAACUCCUGGCUGCCACUCUGUACCAAGGAUGUUAAACCACUUGAGAAAAAGUCUAACGCUAGUUGGAAUAAUUGGAGUCAUGACCUCAGAGAACACCCCACCCAGAAAAGCUUCAAACUUGUAAAAGGGGAUUAGAAAGAUUGCCAUGAGUCUCAGAAGAGAUUUUGGAUUUUGGACUUUUAAACAGACGUGAGACUGACAGAUUAUGGACUGAAUGACUUUUGCAUUAUUUUAUGGCUACAAGCUUAUGGGGGCAAGUGAGGGAGUGUAAUGUGGUGGUUUGAAUAAAAAUAACACACAUUGGUUCAUAAGGAGUGCACUAUUGGGGCUGCUUCUUUUUAAGUGUUUUACUGGGGUUGUGCAUAGAGGCAUAGUGCCAAGAUCCUUGUGACAAUUUAUCUUCCUACUAUGUGUCAUUUCAGAUGUAGAAUAAAGCUAACGUGCCAACACCA
This is a long non-coding RNA of Alexandromys fortis (reed vole), 593 nucleotides long. RefSeq lists it as uncharacterized. The record is from RefSeq and is a predicted model, not a curated record. NCBI's taxonomy places the organism in Eukaryota, Metazoa, Chordata, Mammalia, Rodentia, Cricetidae. The transcript has 3 exons.